CUGCGAAUAUUCUCGCUGUUCUGAUUUUGUAAUAAUCAGGGCAGGCUAAACAUUCGCUAUAUUAAGACCAUGCAUGUGUCCCCAGACCUAGUUCUUUUCCUAGGUCUGGUUUUAUAAAUGCUGGUGAUAAAC
This 132-nucleotide small nucleolar RNA is filed under the name Tursiops truncatus (common bottlenose dolphin). RNAcentral's name for it is "Small nucleolar RNA SNORA72". It matches the Rfam family "Small nucleolar RNA SNORA72". Rfam says of the family: U72 is a member of the H/ACA class of snoRNAs. The snoRNA gene is located in intron 4 of the ribosomal L30 protein gene in human, mouse and chicken. Lineage: Eukaryota; Metazoa; Chordata; Mammalia; Artiodactyla; Delphinidae. The record is from Rfam by way of RNAcentral. RNAcentral also lists the same sequence under 3 other names.